CUGUGGUCUAGCCUAGAGCGCUCCCUUUGCGGGCACUUCCGGUGCGAUCUAGGCUUCGGGACAGCCGCUCCUCUCCGUCAUGCAGCCUAAUCAGAGUCGAAAGUGAGCUCGCCUUCCGAUAUUCUGCAGGAUCACUUCCUGUGAGAGGGACUUGGCCAUGGAACUUGACUUGGAGGAGCUCGAGCCUGAGACCUGAGACUGCUUCCCUGAGACGAUCACGUGAACUCCUCCUGCCCAGAACACAAAAUGAGGAGCUAAGUAAAGACUGAUCACGGAGAGCCCCUGUAUUCAGACGUCAAUGACAGACAGCUCUGCACAACCCAACCAGACACUUCUCUGCAGAGGUAGGGGUGGCUACUAUAGGAUCAUUCCCAAAACGAUUUCUGUAAAACAAAGUCAUUACCAAGAACAGACCUAAAAAUAAGUGCUUCAAGAUUUUUUCUAAGCCAGUAACGGGAUAUUAAAAAUCACUUUUACC
Long non-coding RNA from Monodelphis domestica (gray short-tailed opossum), 478 nucleotides. RefSeq lists it as uncharacterized. The record is from RefSeq and is a predicted model, not a curated record. Lineage: Eukaryota; Metazoa; Chordata; Mammalia; Didelphimorphia; Didelphidae.